Molecule: ribosomal RNA, 388 nt
Filed under: uncultured eukaryote
Lineage: Eukaryota
Description: SSU rRNA
Rfam family: Eukaryotic small subunit ribosomal RNA
Source: RNAcentral
UGAAACUGCGAAUGGCUCAUUAAAACAGUUAUAGUUUAUUCGAUAAUUUUCUACAUGGAUAACCGUAGUAAUUCUAGAGCUAAUACAUGCUGUCAAACCUGACUUCGCGGAAAGGUUGUAUUUAUUAGAUAUAAACCAAUACCUUCGGGUGUUGUGAUGAUUCAUAAUAACUGAGCGAAUCGAGGUCGUACCUCGAUAGAUCGUUCGAGUUUCUGCCCUAUCAGCCUUCGAUGGUAGUGUAUUGGACUACCAUGGCGGUCACGGGUAACGGGGAAUUAGGGUUCGAUUCCGGAGAGGGAGCCUGAGAAACGGCUACCACUUCUAAGGAAGGCAGCAGGCGCGUAAAUUACCCAAUCCUGAUUCAGGGAGGUAGUGACAAGAAAUAACA